AGGGACUUAGGAUAGAAGACCAAGGGCCUUCAAAGCCCUAAGCGGGAGUUAAACCCUCCCAGGCCCUG
This 68-nucleotide transfer RNA is filed under the name Apeltes quadracus (fourspine stickleback). Its description in RNAcentral is "tRNA-Trp". It matches the Rfam family "tRNA". Rfam says of the family: Transfer RNA (tRNA) molecules are approximately 80 nucleotides in length. Lineage: Eukaryota; Metazoa; Chordata; Actinopteri; Perciformes; Gasterosteidae. The record is from RNAcentral.